GUAGGUGGCAAGCGUUGUCCGGAAUUAUUGGGCGUAAAGCGCGCGCAGGGCGGUUCUUUAAGUCUGAUGUGAAAGCCCACGGCUCAACCGUGGAGGGUCAUUGGAAACUGGAGAACUUGAGUACAGAAGAGGAAAGCGGAAUUCCACGUGUAGCGGUGAAAUGCGUAGGGAUGUGGAGGAACACCAGUGGCGAAGGCGGCUUUCUGGUCUGUAACUGACGCUGAGGCGCGAAAGCGUGGGGAGCAAACAGGAUUAGAUACCCUGGUAGUCCACGCCGUAAACGAUGAGUGCUAAGUGUUAGGGGGUUUCCGCCCCUUAGUGCUGCAGCUAACGCAUUAAGCACUCCGCCUGGGGAGUACGGCCGCAAGGCUA
This 372-nucleotide ribosomal RNA is filed under the name uncultured organism. RNAcentral describes it as "partial 16S ribosomal RNA". It matches the Rfam family "Bacterial small subunit ribosomal RNA", at positions 527 to 896 of the family's 1533-position model. The record is from RNAcentral.